UGGUUUGAUGAUGACUACUGGUGGCGUAUGAGUCUUUUGCAAUGAAUGCAUGUCUAGAACUCUGAGGUCCAU
Molecule: small nucleolar RNA, 72 nt
Organism: Symphalangus syndactylus (siamang)
Lineage: Eukaryota; Metazoa; Chordata; Mammalia; Primates; Hylobatidae
Product: small nucleolar RNA SNORD113/SNORD114 family
Source: RefSeq, a predicted model, not a curated record